Molecule: ribosomal RNA, 482 nt
Filed under: uncultured bacterium
Lineage: Bacteria
Description: bacterial SSU rRNA
Rfam family: Bacterial small subunit ribosomal RNA
Source: RNAcentral
UUGAACGCUGGCGGAAUGCUUUACACAUGCAAGUCGAACGGCAGCACGGGGGCAACCUUGGUGGCGAGUGGCGAACGGGUGAGUAAUGUAUCGGAACGUACCCAGUCGUGGGGGAUAACUAUCCGGAAGGAUAGCUAAUACCGCAUACGUCCUGAGGGAGAAAGCGGGGGAUCGCAAGACCUCGCGCGAUUGGAGCGGCCGAUAUCGGAUUAGCUAGUUGGUGAGGUAAAGGCUCACCAAGGCGACGAUCCGUAGCGGGUCUGAGAGGACGACCCGCCACACUGGAACUGAGACACGGUCCAGACUCCUACGGGAGGCAGCAGUGGGGAAUUUUGGACAAUGGGGGAAACCCUGAUCCAGCCAUUCCGCGUGCGGGAAGAAGGCCUUCGGGUUGUAAACCGCUUUUGUCAGGGAAGAAAUCUUCUGAGCUAAUACCUCGGGAGGAUGACGGUACCUGAAGAAUAAGCACCGGCUAACUACGU